RNAcentral lists this long non-coding RNA (1894 nucleotides) under Homo sapiens (human). Its description in RNAcentral is "HSALNT0087328". The record is from RNAcentral. Lineage: Eukaryota; Metazoa; Chordata; Mammalia; Primates; Hominidae.
GGAAGGGUAAGACCCGAUGCAAGGCAAGGAGAGAGCUCGAGGUGGUGGCUGCUGGUUAGCUCCCUCUGGGCGCGGAUCUGGCCAGAAGUGAAUGCACCAACAUCCAUAACUCCUCGGAAAAGCCGGCUGACUCCCCUCGCUCCUUUCUCGGAUCCGCUGCCUACGCCUCUGGAGCCUCCCGGGCCUGCACCUUUGUAACUGGUUACUUUAUUAAAGUCUCUUCACUUAAAUCAACUGGGAAGAAUUCUGUCCUACUCAGGACACUAACUUCAAACUGCAGUAUAUACCAUCACAGCUUCUUUGGUUUGACAGAACAUUUGGACACAUUUCUGCAAACGGACCCUUGGCAUCUCUUCUUGGAACAAAAUUUUGUAUUUGGACUCUGGCACCAUGCACCACAGAUGCAAGCAAGAAGCACUUCUACCUUCUGAGGCGGCCCCUCAAACUCAAGCCAGCUAGGCUAGGCCUGUCCAGCUUUCCUUCACAAAGAAGGAUUGGAGAGUUGCCGCUUACUGGCUUUCUCAAAUGUCAUUACUUAGCCAGUCUUCUGAAGAUUGAGAUUCAUGAACAUUGGACUCUUGCCUGUAAUUACAAUUCUUAAGUAUAUUAACCUUAUUUUCAGCUGUAUUUUUAGUUGCUUUCUGACUUCAUCUUGAAAAUACCUAUACUCUUUCUGCAUUUAUUCUAAUCUUACUUCUGAUCUUGAUUUUAAAAAGAUCUUUAUCAAUGAAAUCACCUCCAAGAACUAUUUUUGAACUUUAAGAUGUAUUCUUAAAUUUUUAGUAAAAUAGGAUUUAGAAUCAACUUUGUGAAGAUUACUAACAGAAAAAUGAAUAGCUCCUACCAUGAGGCAGUUUAUAGUUAAUGUAAAGAAUAUUAUACUUGUUUAUACAUGAAAAAGCCAUUUUCUUUCUCUAAACCUCAGAGAGCUAUAUAUAUUUAAUGAAUAAAUGAAUGUAUGAUGAAUGAAUUCCUGUCAGUCUUUAGCGAAGUCUUAUCUCUUAUUUGGAAUUCUUUCUUUAUCCCCUAUGUCUUCAUAAAUUCCAACCAAUAUCCAGGAUUAAUUCAAAUUCCUUACAAGGAUCUGAGAAGGGUUGGAGCUGUGGUAUGGGUAUGAUUGGUAGAUAGUUUUGAGCAACACUAUCACCAGAAAAUCUCUAUUUUUCUCCCAGUGACUUUUUGUUGAGGGUUGAAGAGUUUCCUUGAAGGCAAAAAAAAAAAAACUGUACUCAUCCAAAAUGUUACAGAUGUAACUUAUGGUUCAAUAGAAGCCUCUGCAAGCCAGGAUACAGAAAGAAACUUGAACCUUUGCAGAAGCUUGCAGAUUCAGCAACAGAGACUGAGAUAAGAAUGAAAUGGUAAUUCUGGGUAUGGUGUGGUGCCAAGUCCUGAAACCAGUCCCAAUAUACCUACCCUAGAAGCAUGUGGACAUCCUGAGGACAUGAAGGGCUCUAUGUGUGAUCCGGAAAAGGUGUUCCACUAUAUUCUAAAGUAUUUAUGGGCUGUGGUAGGCAGAGAAAAUUAUCCAGCAAAAAUUCAUGAAUUGUUACUGAAAAGUGACUUCUCAGAUAAGUAUUACAUUUCUCAGCUCUCGUCGUCAUUAAGCAUUACCAUGGUGACUCAGAUCUAUCCAGUGGAAUAUUGUAAGAAGUGAUGUUGCUAUUCAAGAUCUGGCUCAUGGAAGUGCUCCUCUGUGAUCUUCUCUCUUUUUUUUCUGCUGCCUAUAAUAAAAACUUCUCCCAGGGAACUUUGGAAGUCUCAUGCAGAAGACAGCAGAAACUUCACCAAUCUGGGUCUCUGUGUGACUGAAAGUAUAAGAGAUGGCAGACCCAUCUACCUGUUCUCUCACCUUUUAGUGUCACAUGAUCAAGAAAUACACUUCUAUUGUCGAGAG